UUCAUAAAACAUGGAUAAUAAACGGGUAAUUGAAAAUUGAAAUUCAAACCCAUAAAAUUCUUUAUACUGUGAGUGGAAAACUGUCCAACAAAUCUUAGCUGUUUAAAUUCUCCUAUCUUUCAAUGUCAGCCGUAAUAACUCUGGUUUCCACAACUGUCUGCGACAACACACGAAAUUGAAUGCUCUUCACUCCAACUUCUUCAUCGACCUAGAAACCGCCAUAUCCAUACCUAUUGGAGACUCUCCUUCUCAACCUCCUUCCCACGUUCUUAUAGUUUUCGUACUAUGUGUCCUAUAUAAGACUAAGUUGUGAAGGUAAUUUCACCAAUAUUCAUACCAAAUAGGUUUUGGAAGGAGAGCGAAAGAUAAAUAAUCAAUCAUCUGGAAAGCAACCGGAUUAAUCAUGGCCUUCAACCAUCGUCGCCCCUUUACCACCACCAUCUACAAGCACUCAUUGGUUCAAUUCCUCAUCAAUCCAGUACUUCCAUUGAACAAUGAUUCACGACAAUCGCAACAGAACUAUAAGCCCUUCCUUUUUUUUCUCUCUCUUAUUUUUGUGAUAAUGUUCAAUUUAUUAAUGGAUCUAACAUCAUUUAUUGACUAGCUUGCGUUCUGAUUGCAUCAGAAUUGUCAUGCUUACUUUGAUGUCUCUCAAUUUCUUCCUCUGUGCUGAUAAUAAAGAACAAGGCUUCCGUUUAUUUAUAGGGCAUCAAUUGGGUCAUAAUUUUCUUAAAAGAAUUUCAUUAUACCAGUAGACACCUGUCAUCACAGUUGCUUAAAUAUAAACAAUUUUGACGAUAUUAUACCAAAUAUAUGUUAAAUUUCUCAACUCUCUGUCUAAAAUUUUCAUUUAUUGUAGUAUGGGGAGGGUGAAGCUGAAAAUCAAGAGAUUAGAAAACAUUUGUAAUCGCAAAGUGAUGUUGAAGGAAUGGAAUCUUAAAGAAAUCCAAGGAGUUAUCUGUAUUAUGUGAUGUUGACAUCAUCCUUCUUAUGUUAUCGUUAACUCGAAAAUCUACAUUAUUCACUAGACAACGAAGUAAUAGGCAUGAUGAGUUCUCUACAAGAUCUGGUUGUCUUCCUUUUAUGUCCAAAGGAAAGAAGGAGGGUUUCAUGCAGUUCUUACCAUUAAUGGGUGUUUGACUAAGGCUAAAGGAGUUAAAAGUGGGUUGUGGGGAUUCAGAGGCUUCAAUACCCAUUAGGAAUCUCAAUUGUUAAGCAAACAAAGGAAUUACAUAGUGAAAUAGAAUGCACUUUCAUUUGUAGUGUUAUUAGAACAUCUAAAUUUUAGUUCUAUUUCUUAAAUUUUUUAAUUUAAUUCAAUUUUGUUUUAUCUACUCUUAUUUAAGCCUUGUACUUCGAAAGUAAAAUAGUUUAAUAAUAAGGAAAUAUUAAUUACACAAAGUUCUUCUUAUUGUUGUUGUUGAGUUCUAAUUGUGCAUUUGUGCUAGGUCAUUUAAUCUACUUAUGUUUAGUCUAUUUCUUCAUUGCAAUCCCCCUUGUAAAGAAUAAUAUGAAGGAUGUAUAGUCCUGUUAUAAACCACUUACAUCUUGUGUAAAUGGAACAAGUAUCUUGACUUUCUUGCAGCUUACUCUACAAUUAAUCAGGUGAGAUACACACAAGGUUUAAGUAGUUACCUACUGAGCAUAAUGCAGAAACAAAACUUACUUUUACCUCUUUAUUUGUUUAGCCAUUAUUUUUUUCAUAUUUAAUAUAAUAAUAAAAGUUAAGUCGCUAAAUCGAAAAAAAAUGAUAGUUUACUAAUUUAUUGAUUUAGCUCGAGAUUUUUUUUUAAUUAUCAAUGUGACUAUCAUGGUUUACUCAAACAAUUAACUUACUAAAUUACUUAAAUGGUGAAAGUACAACUGCGUUUUAAAAUAUAAUGAAACUUUACCUUUACCUUUGGUGUAUUGUAACGGGUUAUUGUGAGGUGGAUAUUGGUCUAAUAUUUGGUUGGAACAUUGAUGGCUUUCCAUCAUCACAUUUUGCAACUGUUGCAGCUCUUGCUGCGUUCAUAGGUUUACAAGAGGGCACCUCACACCUAUUCAUCAUCAUUUUCCAUUGCAGUGGUUUUUGCAUGUAUUUGUAUUUAUUUAUUUACUCAUGAAGUUCAUAUUAUCCA
This is a long non-coding RNA of Lactuca sativa (garden lettuce), 2120 nucleotides long. RefSeq lists it as uncharacterized. NCBI's taxonomy places the organism in Eukaryota, Viridiplantae, Streptophyta, Magnoliopsida, Asterales, Asteraceae. The record is from RefSeq and is a predicted model, not a curated record.